This 1357-nucleotide ribosomal RNA is filed under the name Myroides odoratimimus. Its description in RNAcentral is "bacterial SSU rRNA". It matches the Rfam family "Bacterial small subunit ribosomal RNA", at positions 19 to 1381 of the family's 1533-position model. Lineage: Bacteria; Pseudomonadati; Bacteroidota; Flavobacteriia; Flavobacteriales; Flavobacteriaceae. The record is from RNAcentral.
AGGGCUCAGGAUGAACGCUAGCGGCAGGCCUAACACAUGCAAGUCGAGGGGUAGAAGAAGCUUGCUUUUUUGAGACCGGCGCACGGGUGAGUAACGCGUAUGCAACCUACCUUAUACAGGGGAAUAGCCCGAAGAAAUUCGGAUUAAUGCUCCAUGGUUUAUCGAUAUGGCAUCGUAUUGAUAAUAAAGAUUUAUCGGUAUAAGAUGGGCAUGCGUAUCAUUAGCUAGUUGGUGUGGUAACGGCAUACCAAGGCAACGAUGAUUAGGGGUCCUGAGAGGGAGAUCCCCCACACUGGUACUGAGACACGGACCAGACUCCUACGGGAGGCAGCAGUGAGGAAUAUUGGUCAAUGGAGGCAACUCUGAACCAGCCAUGCCGCGCGCAGGAUGACGGUCCUAUGGAUUGUAAACUGCUUUUGUACAGGAAGAAACCUCCCUACGAGUAGGGACUUGACGGUACUGUAAGAAUAAGGAUCGGCUAACUCCGUGCCAGCAGCCGCGGUAAUACGGAGGAUCCGAGCGUUAUCCGGAAUUAUUGGGUUUAAAGGGUUCGUAGGCGGCUUUGUAAGUCAGUGGUGAAAUUUCCUAGCUUAACUAGGACACUGCCAUUGAUACUGCAGAGCUUGAAUAAUAUGGAAGUAACUAGAAUAUGUAGUGUAGCGGUGAAAUGCUUAGAUAUUACAUGGAAUACCAAUUGCGAAGGCAGGUUACUACGUAUUUAUUGACGCUGAUGAACGAAAGCGUGGGGAGCGAACAGGAUUAGAUACCCUGGUAGUCCACGCCGUAAACGAUGGAUACUAGCUGUUCGGUUUUCGGACUGAGUGGCUAAGCGAAAGUGAUAAGUAUCCCACCUGGGGAGUACGUUCGCAAGAAUGAAACUCAAAGGAAUUGACGGGGGCCCGCACAAGCGGUGGAGCAUGUGGUUUAAUUCGAUGAUACGCGAGGAACCUUACCAGGGCUUAAAUGUAGAUUGACAGAUUUGGAAACAGAUUUUUCUUCGGACAAUUUACAAGGUGCUGCAUGGUUGUCGUCAGCUCGUGCCGUGAGGUGUCAGGUUAAGUCCUAUAACGAGCGCAACCCCUAUUGUUAGUUACCAGCGCGUAGUGGCGGGGACUCUAGCAAGACUGCCGGUGCAAACCGUGAGGAAGGUGGGGAUGACGUCAAAUCAUCACGGCCCUUACGUCCUGGGCUACACACGUGCUACAAUGGCAAGUACAGAAAGCAGCUACCUGGCAACAGGAUGCGAAUCUCCAAAGCUUGUCUCAGUUCGGAUUGGAGUCUGCAACUCGACUCUAUGAAGCUGGAAUCGCUAGUAAUCGGAUAUCAGCCAUGAUCCGGUGAAUACGUUCCCGGGCCU